Cyprinus carpio (common carp) is the source of this 815-nucleotide long non-coding RNA. The record is from Ensembl. Lineage: Eukaryota; Metazoa; Chordata; Actinopteri; Cypriniformes; Cyprinidae.
CAUUAUGGGACAUUAAACGUGUAGAGGCAGAGGUGAGAAAAUGUAGCGUUAUUUGUGGCGUAAAUGCUCGCGCAUCUACGCAAUUUCCUUGUGUGGGAGAGAGACAAACAGACCUUCUGUUCUCUAAUAGACAGCUCACGUCACACCAACCAGAUGUCUGAUAUUCCGUGCAGGAAAGGUUAGAGCAGGUAGUUUGAAGUUUUUUGUGUAGGCUCUAUCUACCGGGACAGCUCACCGGCGCCGCAGACAACAUUUAAUUCCAGCCAUCGUGUAAAGGUCAUCAGCGAUCAUCUCCUAUGUUUGAAACAAUUGUAGUGAACAUGACGAGUUUGAAGGCGUUCACCGAGCCGUUUGGGAGAGUGGCUUCUGAACCGGUGGAGGACACUGACCCCAGCAGCUUCAUUACAGAUAUGUCUCUGAGGUCACAUUACCCCAUUCAGGACACUGAUCCACAAGCUAUCAGAGAUCCUGUAACCCUACAGCUCAGCUCUGGUCCCCCUGGAUAUUUGUCAUCAGCGGUGGACAGGAUACGACAACCUGUGGAAAAUGACAGUAGUGAAUUUAUUCCAUCAUCUUCAGUUUCAUCAGGUAUGUGCAAAUAUAAGAAUACUACAGUUCCCACUGUACACAACUGAAGCAUCGCAAUGGAGAAUGACAUCGGGAGGGUGGGGGGUUAGGGGGUGUGCCCAAAACAUGAAUCCAUAUUCAGAAAUGCAGGGAAAACAAAUAACCAUUGCUAAUGGUUGCCUGUUACAUUACAGUACAUAUUUCACUUACCAAAUAAACAGAGUAAGGAGACAUGACUGAGGACGAUG